GCCGGCGUGGUGGAACUGGAAGACGCGCGGGACUCAAAAUCCCGUGUCCCUCGGGGACGUGUCGGUUCAACUCCGACCGCCGGCACCA
RNAcentral lists this transfer RNA (88 nucleotides) under Candidatus Cloacimonadota bacterium. RNAcentral's name for it is "tRNA-Leu". It matches the Rfam family "tRNA". From Rfam's summary of the family: Transfer RNA (tRNA) molecules are approximately 80 nucleotides in length. Their secondary structure includes four short double-helical elements and three loops (D, anti-codon, and T loops). Lineage: Bacteria; Pseudomonadati; Candidatus Cloacimonadota. The record is from RNAcentral.